AACGAACGCUGGCGGCAUGCCUAACACAUGCAAGUCGAACGAGACCUUCGGGUCUAGUGGCGCACGGGUGCGUAACGCGUGGGGACCUGCCCUUAGGUUCGGAAUAACUCCCCGAAAGGAGUGCUAAUACCGGAUAAUGUCUUCGGACCAAAGAUUUAUCGCCUUUGGAUGGGCCCGCGUUGGAUUAGCUAGUUGGUAGGGUAAAAGCCUACCAAGGCGACGAUCCAUAGCUGGUCUGAGAGGAUGAUCAGCCACACUGGGACUGAGACACGGCCCAGACUCCUACGGGAGGCAGCAGUGGGGAAUAUUGGACAAUGGGCGAAAGCCUGAUCCAGCAAUGCCGCGUGAGUGAUGAAGGCCUUAGGGUUGUAAAGCUCUUUUACCCGGGAUGAUAAUGACAGUACCGGGAGAAUAAGCUCCGGCUAACUCCGUG
RNAcentral lists this ribosomal RNA (433 nucleotides) under uncultured bacterium. RNAcentral's name for it is "partial 16S ribosomal RNA". It matches the Rfam family "Bacterial small subunit ribosomal RNA", at positions 29 to 507 of the family's 1533-position model. The record is from RNAcentral.